GGAAAGGUAUGAAUCACAUGGGAUAGGAGAGAUGAACAUGAGAAGGGCUGGAAUUGCCGUGGAGCUCCAGGUGUGGCUCCCAAGGUCACAACACAACUCCUGACUGAAGCUCCUGCAAAGACUAUAGAUUUGGAGCUGAUGAAUUGGCAGAGUUGGUGUGGUUCAUCUCCUCUCAGCUGGGGAGGGCUCUGGGCACGUGGUGUGUGUCUUUCUCCCUUCUGCCACAGUGGUCACAGGGUGCCAACACCAGGAAGAGUAAAUUACAGAAAGUCUUGCUACAGUUCCUGUGAUUUCGUGUGCCAAUACUUUAAAACUCCCCCUACAACUUGGCUUGGUGUUUGAAACCCCUCUCUUCCAUUCACCAUCCACUGCUCUUCAUGAGUUCAGCACUCCCCACAUAAGAAAAACUGAGUCUGCUGGAGAGGGCAUGGAGCAACAUCACAAACAGAUCCAAACUGGUCCCAGCUUCAGGCACCAGCUUGUCAAGUUGCACCCAGGUCUGGGCUGGACUAUCAGCACAGGGUGGAACCAAUGUACUCCUCUUCUCUGGAACGUCUCUGUGACACACUCAGUUGGUUUCCAUGCUGGCAUAUCUCUUGCCAGGUGCAGUGCCACUGGAACAUUUUCCACUUUGGAAGGGUGAGUUCUUGGGAGAGAAAUAAAUCAGAGCUGAACCUCUGAUGCUACAGAAGGGCCUUGAUUCCAGCUGCGGGUUCCUGGGAUUCCCGCUCUUUGUCCGACUAUCUUUGGCUCCCUCUCCUGGCUGAAAACACGGGUUACAGCCAAGAGAAAAGAGCAGAAACCACCAGGCUCCGGGGACCCUCCAGCCUGCGGUCCUGAUGCUGACUAGAGGAUGAUGAAGCGUUUGCAAUCUCACUUUGCAUCCCUUGAUCAGUGGGGUUAAACAUGUUAUUUUCCCUUCCCCAGCACUGUAGAACCCUUUUUAAUGCAGCAAGCCUGGGAGUGACCAUCUGUUUUAUUUUUAUUGCAAAUUCCACGCAGGGAUGUCAGGCAUCACCACCUGAACUCCUGUGGGGAUACGGCUCUCUGCCCUCUAAGAAAGAAAACCAAAGCCAAAUACCCCCAAAAUUCUGCCUUUAUUAACAUUUAGUCCCUCUGUUGGCGUUUAAAUUCAGAAUACAGCCAGCACAUCUCUUGGGCCCUGCUUCCAUCCAGCUGUGCUUGCCUGGCCCCUGCUUUGAGGCUGCCCUAACCCUGGCCAGGUAAUUCCACAGUUGCUCUGGCUGACAGGGAGCAGCUCCAGGGCCCGCAGAUGGUGCUGUGUCCUUAUUCCCGGCUGCCUUUCUCCUCUGUUCCCGGUCUGGGAGGUGGCUGCUGUCUCACAGACACCGGCUCAGCCACAGAUGGGGACAGUGGGCUGGGAAAGACCCUGGGGACAUGUCAGGUCAUCACCUGAGUGCUCCUGCUCUCGAGGGUCAGCUCCGGUGGGGCCUUUUAUAUACACACAUACAUAUAUAUAUAUAUAUG
Molecule: long non-coding RNA, 1488 nt
Organism: Chiroxiphia lanceolata (lance-tailed manakin)
Lineage: Eukaryota; Metazoa; Chordata; Aves; Passeriformes; Pipridae
Exons: 3
Source: RefSeq, a predicted model, not a curated record